GCUCAGAGCUGCCUGGGUCUCUCCAGCCCGAUGUCUGGAACAGCCUGCCUGUCGAUCUGCGGAAAGAGCCUGGAACAGAGGACAGCUGGUUAAAAGAACAUGGAUUUCUGGGUCCCACACCAGACCCAGGAAAUCAACUCAGGAACAGGGCCUGGAAUCUUUUUUUUUUUUUUUUUUUUUUUUUGGUGAGGAAGAUUGUUGCUGAGCUAACAUCUGUGCCAAUCUUCCUCAAUUUUGUAUAUGGGACUCCUCCACAGCAUGGCUUGAUGAGCAUUGCAUACAUCCACACCUGGGAUCUGAACUUGCAAACCCUGGGCCCUGAAGCAGAGUGGGAGAAUGCAACCACUACUGGGCCACCACCAGAAUCUGUCUUUUUAAUCAGUGUCUCAGCUGACUCUUCUGCACCACUGCUGUGGGGGUUGCUAGAGACACAAAUAUGUUUAAAUACAAGAGAGUUCACAGCACGGGGGAGGCACUUCAAGAAGCAGCAUCAGUCAAUAUUCCCAGUGGGGUCUGGACCAAGCUAAGCGACGGCUCUUCUUGGGAGAUCUGUCGUCGCAUGAGACGGUGGGAUUUGUGCCUGGGGCGCGGCUCUUCUGCCUUUUUCUGCUCCCCCAGAACUCAGCUGUUCCUUCAGCCCUCAGCAGCAGGAAGGUGGAAGGUUCCAGUUUCCAGGUGCGGGAUUUCUUAGCGGCCUACGUCCAGCCCCCUUUCUCUGAGACGGCCCCAGCCAGCCCUGUCUCAGCCAGCAUCUUGGAGAGGCAGGAGAAGGCAAAGUCACGUGGGCCCUGGAGAUCCUCGGGACAGGCUGGUGGCCCACUGAAAGGCCUCUUUCUUACGGACAAGCAAGUGAGAACCAGAGAGGGAAAGUGGCUUGCCUGAGGUCACCCAGCCAACGUAAUGGCUGAGCAGAAACUGGAAACUGGCCCACAACCGUGGGUGCAGCGUAUGCUUCAGUCCUGCUGCCUUCCCUGCAGCAUUAAAAUUUGAGAGCAGAAGCGGCCUUAGAGAUCUUUAUAGUCCACCCUGAGUGUUUCAGAUAAGGAGCCGGAGGCCCAGAGAGGGGACACUCCUGCCCCAGCGCCACACAACUCAGCAGUAACACGUGAGGUGGCAGUCCAGGAUCAGCGUUUUCUUGGAACCGAGUCGCCUUCAGUGUCCCUGGAGUGCUGGGGGUUACCGAGGGGGGCAGGGACAGAGAGGCCUUCUAGAUAAAUACCCUGCUCUGGCGCAGGCCUCAGACAGCUGGGCAAACGCCGGCCGGGAGGACCGGCUCAGGCAGAGAUCCCAGAAGGCGGCCUGGGCGGUGGAGGCGGCAUGCCGGCCCGUCGAUGCCCCCUUGUGGCCAAGCGCUGAAACGCCAGGCGGGGACCGAGGCGGCAGGUGCGGCUGCCCUGAGCUUCGCCCUAAGGAGCAUCUUUCACCGCCGCAGGUCACCGGCCAGCGAAGCCAAGGAAGUCUGUGCGUGUGCAGACUCAGGCCAUAAAUGUGGGCCCCACCGGCGGCUGACCAAUAUUUUGGGGUGAGUCCUUGGCUCACGUCGUCGUACGUGAGGACGCAGGGUGUUAAGUGGGGUGCGUGAACUAGAAUAAGUGAUUUAACCUCUUGGAAACUUGUAUCAUCUGAAAAACAGAGAAGAUAGGAAUACACCCCUGAUACAGCUGUUGUGACACACAGUAAACGCUCAAGGAAUGGAGCUGAAUAAUGACGACAUUACAGACCGAAUGUUUGUGUCCCCUCCCCACUUCCUACGUUGAAGCCUGACCCCCAGUGCUGUCGUGCUUGGAAGCGGGGCCUUUGGGAGUGAUGAGGGUUAAAUGAGGUGGUGAGGUGGGGCUCCUGUGAGGGGACUAGUGCCCUUGUGGAAGACAGAGAGAACCAGAGCUGCGGUUGCUGCCCUGCGAGCACACAGGGAGAAGGUCAUCUGCUGACAGAGAGACGGUCCUUUCUCACCAGGAACCGGAUCUCCCGCCACCUUGACCUUGGGCUUCCAGCCUCCAGAACUGUGAGAAAUAAAUCUCUCUUGUUUAAGCCCCGAGUCUGUGGUGUUCAGUUCUGGCUGCCUGAGCAGACUAAGACAAAUCAUCAGCAUUUCUAUUUGCAGGACUGCCAAGUGGAGAAAAAGCAGACCUGUUCUCUUUAGUCCCAAAGAAGGAGCAAAAGCCAAGGAGUAAAAGCUUCAGUGUCGUCUCAGAGCAAAGGCUGAGCUGUCCAAAGAUGGGACAGGGGCCUCUGGAGGUGGCCAGUCCCUGCCUCAGGUCGCAGGGCGCACCAGAGCUGGGUGGGCAGGUGGGGUGGUUAGAGCCCGUGGCUGAGGAUCAGUCUGGGGCCGUUUGCAGCCUUGGGAGGGACAGGGAGGCAGGAGGAAGUCUCCCACUGCGGGAGGGAGCACUGGCCUUGGGGAGAUUCACAGAAGGGUCCGGAACAACAGUAGAGAUGAGCUGCUCCAUGAUCCUCCGGGAGCUGGCCCCUCACUGACCACCCCGCACGGCGGGACUGGUUCCCGCUGAGAAGUUGCUCUGCUUUCUCUCUGCUUUGCUGACUCUCUGGCUUGAGGACAAAGUGCUGCGGCCUCUUUAAUACCCCAGCACUGCGGGCUGGGCAUCCUGAUCACUGCUGGUUCAAAGGUCAGAAACCCCAAGGGGCAGCUGAACUUGUGGCAACGGUGGGAGAGGAGUUGCUGUUGACCAACGUCUGGGCCAGAAGGCCACUUAUUCCUGGCAGAUUCUGGAACUCUAGAGGGAGGGCUUACUCCCUUGUCCAGGGAACAAGCUCAGAGCAGUUGCUUAUUCACCCAUCCACCCCAUGCUGCGACUAAAAUCCAAAUUCCAGAUUCCAAAUGCUGCUAAAAGGCAGCCCUCUUCCUUCAGCCAUUGACCCCAGAAAUGCCCUGGCCGAGUGGUCUCCUCUUGGACUGCUUACCAUCUCCCAGGUUUCACCUGCAGUCCUGCAGCUCGUGCCUCAGGGUCUACCUGGGAAAUGAUAGCAAAAUAAACUGCUGAGAUGUUCAGGCUCUUUCCUCUGGGCAGAGUAUACACAGAAGCCAGAUGCAAUGGAAGCACUAACAGGGGACAGCCGACCUCCCUGCCGUGUGCCGUGGGGAACCAGGGCCUAGGACACACGUUCCUGACAAACGCCAUGCUUCCUGCCUGGGCACAUGGUGGUGGUGGUGUUUGAGGCCAGCGUUACACCUCAUUGUGCUAAUGUGCAUGUUUGAGCAAAGUUCAGAGUACAGUGGGAGGUAAAAACUCCAGUCCUCAAAGCCACAGAUAUCCAGAAUCCACACAGUAGCCUGCUCUUUCCAGGACCUCCAGGUGGAUGGGCAGUGUCUUCGUCAUCUCGGGCUGCUGUAACAAGAACCAUAGACUGGGGGCUUGAACAAGAGACGUUUGAUUCUCACAGUUCUGGAGGCUGGAAGUGCCAGCCUGGUUGGGUUCUGGUGAGAGGUCUCUUCCUGGUUUGCAGAUGGCGCCUGGUCACUGUGUCCUCACAGGGCAGAGAGAGAGCAAGCUCUGGUGUCUCUUCCUCUUCUUACAAGGGCACCAGUUCUGUCAGAUCAGGGCCCCACCCUUCUGACCUCAUUCAACCUUCAUCACCUGCAGACAGGCCCAUCUGCAAUACAAUCACUUGGGAGGUCAGAGCUUCAGCAUGUGACUUUGGAGGGACACAGUUCAGUCCACAGCAGUCACGCACCGCAUUGCAUCAAAAGACAUGGAAGUUUGAAAAGAGAGAAUGCCAGAGAAGAAAGAGUGGGGAAGGGAAGGGGCCAUGGCCAAGACGGUGUCAGAGAGAGUUACCAAAAAUACGUAAAACCAGGGAUCCAGACCACCAUCUGGGGCCACUCGUAAAUCAGCAGGAAAGGCUGGAAGGGCGCAUGGUGGUCUUCCUCUACUCUACGCCAGCUCUCCUGGAUCCUGGUGCCAGCUCAGGGCAUCUUCUCCUCUCCUUGUCACCAUAGACUCAAAAAAAAAGCACUCAUUUGGAGACAGGGAGGAGGUGAUGGGAAAGAGAUCAGAGAGAGAGACUGUUACACUUUAGGUCCUGAGAGGACAUGGGUCUCCCUGGGUCUGCGAGUUAGGAACUUUCUGCACGCCACAUGCCUCACAGGCCCAGGAGAGCAUCUGCACGGUGGUAGUUUGGAAAGACUCAUGGAAAACAGAGCAAAAGCUGGGGCCCAGGAGAACUCCUGCCUUUUCACAAAAUCCUUUUGGAUGAGGGGGUGUUGAAAGAAUGAUCAAGAGAUGUCAUGGAAUCUUCUUGCCCACACCCUUGAACAAGCAGGACAGAUAGUUCCUAGUAUCCAUCAUCCAUUAUCAAUUAGCCAUUAUCCAUUAUCCAUCAUCCAUCAGCCAUCAGCCAUCAUGCCGGAAGCCACAGGAGCCUGCACCGCUCCUCUCUUCAAGCUGCUGACAAUCACUGCUGUGCCAGCGAUGCAGAGAAUCCUUCCUCUCCCACCUCUUUUCUUCUUUAUUCCCCACCUGGAAAUUGAUGUUGCUUGAAAGGACUUGUUGAGCUUUUGUUUUGCUUUUUUCUUAACAAGAACUGGAAAAUUUGAGUAGUCUUUUUGCAACGUUAGAGUAUGAAGGUUGUGCUCCCCUCUAAGGAUUUUACAAUGCGGAGAAGUUGGAGGUGACCAGAAACAAAUAAACUGAGGAAGCUUUAUUGCCUAAUUACUUGGAGGAUGAUUAAAAAAAAAAGCAGUUAUGGGGCUGGCCCCGUGGCCGAGUGGUUAAGUUCGCGCGCUGCUCUGCAGGCGGCCCAGUGUUUCGUUGGUUCGGAUCCUGGGCGCGGACAUGGCACUGCUCAUCAGACCACGCUGAGGCAGCGUCCCACAUGCCACAACUAGAAGAACCCACAACGAAGAAUACACAACUAUGUACCGGGGGCUUUGGGGAGAAAAAGGAAAAAAUAAAAUCUUUAAAAAAAAAAAAAAAAGCAGUUAUGCUUGGGGCUGCUAGGUGCUACUUACUCUCUAUUCUUCCUUUCUUCCUUAAUAAGAGAAAACUUGUAUUGUUUUGGAUAGCAGUGUACCCAAACUAAAAACACAAAACAAAAACUGUAUGUCCAGGUCUUCUUUGCAGAUGUGAGUGGCCAAUGAGCUCUAAACAGAAGCUUUUGGAUGGGGCCUCCAGUAAACAAGACUUAUUUAGCCUGCAGACACCCCUUGUCCCUGCUUGUUCCUUUUUCUUCCUGCCUGGAACAUGGACAUGAUGACUGGAGCUGUGGCAGCCAUCUUGGAACCAUGAAGGAAAAGUCAAGAAAAUUAUAAAAACUUUGGCCCUGGCAUACUUGAGCUUCUACACCAGGGGUUGGCAAACUAUGGCCCGUGAGCCAAAUCUGGCCCACCAUCUGUUUUUGUAAAUAAAGUUUUAUUGGAAUACAA
RNAcentral lists this long non-coding RNA (5383 nucleotides) under Equus caballus (horse). RNAcentral describes it as "lncRNA (ENSECAG00000058547.1)". The record is from RNAcentral. Lineage: Eukaryota; Metazoa; Chordata; Mammalia; Perissodactyla; Equidae.